CAUACUUUUCUCUUGUUUUCUAUAUAUAGGCUGGGGAUGUUUUUAAAAUCCUCCCACCAACCUGCCAAAUCACAGGAUGGAGUUCUCAGUGUUUCCUUUCCAUUGAAUGUUUUGCCACAUGCAAACUUUCAUCUUCUUCUCAGUAUACUUUUGGGUUCUGCUAGGCUUACUUUCAAAGGUUAAAGUAAUGGAGUGUACUGGAGUCAGGAAAGCUCAGUGUUGGUUCACCAGCACUGCAUUUCUGCACCAGUCAUAGCUGAUAAGUUCAAAAUCACAUCAGCAAUCUGAACAGCAAAACUGGCACCAGCCUGUUUCAGCUGCUUGCUGUUAAUGCUUGAAGAGAAGCAAGAUGCACUGAAUUGCAGGAUGGGCAGUGGC
This is a long non-coding RNA of Parus major (Great Tit), 378 nucleotides long. RefSeq lists it as uncharacterized. The record is from RefSeq and is a predicted model, not a curated record. The transcript has 3 exons. Lineage: Eukaryota; Metazoa; Chordata; Aves; Passeriformes; Paridae.